RNAcentral lists this small RNA (612 nucleotides) under Pan troglodytes (chimpanzee). Its description in RNAcentral is "retained intron". The record is from RNAcentral. Lineage: Eukaryota; Metazoa; Chordata; Mammalia; Primates; Hominidae.
GGUCUGGAGGCCAAGCCUCUGCUCCUGACAAGCUAAGUUACCCAGAAAUUGCAGCAUGUGCCGAGGCCCUGCCAGGGCUGGGGAUGAGCACUUGCUGGCUGCCUGCUCUUUAGGGCUUUGGCCUGCCUUGGAAGAGCAGGGACAGUGGCGAGCAGAGGGGGCCGGGGAGGCCGGGCCAUUCAGAACGGUCAUCAGCCAGGUACUCCCAGAGGCUGCCUUCGAGGCCACAUCACCAGCCCGGGCACAUUGCUCUUUCCAUGGGGGCAUUUCCAGGGGAGUGCCGUCAACCAAAUACAAGGCUGUGGCUUGUGCAGAAUUAGAGUAAAUGAAUGAAAAUAGAGUGUUUCUCAUCUACCAGAACCCAGAAGGCUGUCUCAGUGUACAGGACCAGUAACCAGGCUUACGGGAGCAGAGCCCCCACCGUGCACGAGAUGCCUAAAGUAUUUUAUCCAAAUUCGAAUAAAUUUUCCCAACAACUUGCAGCGGGUGGAAUGUUCCGGAACAAUACUCUCAAUGUUUACCUGGAGAAAAGCAUCGUGACUGGCCCCGAUAACUGCAUCACCUCCUGUGACCGGCUCAACUUCCACCCCAGUUACAACAUCAACAGGCCAU